Molecule: long non-coding RNA, 659 nt
Filed under: Homo sapiens (human)
Lineage: Eukaryota; Metazoa; Chordata; Mammalia; Primates; Hominidae
Description: HSALNT0279484
Source: RNAcentral
ACUCUGGCCCCCACCGCAGCAGCACCUACAACCCUGGGGGUGGAUCUGGACGUCACCUGCAGAGCAGAUGGGAGCAGACUGAGGUCACACCUGGGGCCCUCCGUGAGCCUGGUCUGGUACGGAAGAAAUUCCCCCUACUCUUCUAGAACUCAUCUGGUGUCGAGUGUAUCAGGUAGUGUUGGAUGGGCAAGAGAUCUUCUGGGAGCCAGGGGAGAGAGAGACAGCUUGGUUAUGGACAGAGCUCUAGAGCGACAGCUACACCCGUCUUGAAUGGAGAGGUACCUGCCGGACACUCCAGGAAGCCUGAAAUACAGGGAUGCCUAUGACCCACAGAAAGCCACACCAACCACCGGUCCCCUUCCCAGUCUACAGAGCAAAUGUCAAGUAACUCAGAUGGAGAGGGUAGAUUUGGUGCUAUGACUGCACCGGAGGUGGCUGCUGAUGGUGACAAAGACAGCCUGGAAGCAGGAAGGCUGGGCCCUGGAAUCACAGGUGUUAGGAAAUGGUCAGCUUGGAGACCAUCUGAUCCAGCCCCUCCAUUUACAGAUGAGGAAACCAAGGCCCAGAGAGUGGAAGGCACUGUCAUACGGCCACAUAACCUUAUCUGGAGCUCUUCUCCAAAGGCUGUUUCAGGGUUGCUGCUUGUUUCCAGGAUCCAG